Long non-coding RNA from Molossus molossus (Pallas's mastiff bat), 314 nucleotides. RefSeq lists it as uncharacterized. The transcript has 3 exons. Lineage: Eukaryota; Metazoa; Chordata; Mammalia; Chiroptera; Molossidae. The record is from RefSeq and is a predicted model, not a curated record.
GGGGGCGGAGCCGACUGGGCGAGCGGGAGAGACCUGAGAGCGAGGGCACAUUUUGGAGUUCUCCCUCUUUUGGUGUGUGUGUGAUAACAUGAUAAUCAAGAAGCUAUGCACUCUUCAAUCAGGCUACAGAGUGAACAGAAAUUCCUUGUGUACAUGAGGACUCAGAAGGCACAGAAUAUAUAUGGGGGAGCAGGAGAGGAACUGACGUGGGUGAUAAUUUGUCUCGCUCCCCAGUUUUCCAUAUGUAUGGUGUGCCCCUUGUGCUGGAGCGGGAAGCUGGUCUUCAUGGGUAGAACUGGGAGCAGAGAAACAGC